RNAcentral lists this ribosomal RNA (44 nucleotides) under Dactylogyrus ctenopharyngodonis. RNAcentral's name for it is "partial 18S ribosomal RNA". It matches the Rfam family "Eukaryotic small subunit ribosomal RNA", at positions 1788 to 1831 of the family's 1831-position model. The record is from RNAcentral. Lineage: Eukaryota; Metazoa; Platyhelminthes; Monogenea; Dactylogyridea; Dactylogyridae. RNAcentral also lists the same sequence under 3 other names.
GUCGUAACAAGGUUUCCGUAGGUGAACCUGCGGAGGGAUCAUUA